This 91-nucleotide transfer RNA is filed under the name Sphingobacterium thalpophilum. RNAcentral describes it as "tRNA-Ser(gga)". It matches the Rfam family "tRNA". From Rfam's summary of the family: Transfer RNA (tRNA) molecules are approximately 80 nucleotides in length. Their secondary structure includes four short double-helical elements and three loops (D, anti-codon, and T loops). The record is from RNAcentral. Lineage: Bacteria; Pseudomonadati; Bacteroidota; Sphingobacteriia; Sphingobacteriales; Sphingobacteriaceae. RNAcentral also lists the same sequence under 16 other names.
GGAAAGGUGUCAGAGUGGUCGAAUGAGCAGUCCUGGAAAGACUGUAUACGGGAUGACUGUAUCGAGGGUUCGAAUCCCUCCCUUUCCGCCA